This 253-nucleotide ribosomal RNA is filed under the name uncultured bacterium. RNAcentral's name for it is "partial 16S ribosomal RNA". It matches the Rfam family "Bacterial small subunit ribosomal RNA", at positions 524 to 776 of the family's 1533-position model. The record is from RNAcentral.
UACGGAGGGUGCAAGCGUUGUCCGGAAUCACUGGGCGUAAAGGGCGCGUAGGCGGCCUGGUAAGUAGGGGGUGAAAUCCUGCGGCUUAACCGCAGGGCUGCCUUCUAAACUGUCAGGCUUGAGCACGGUAGAGGCAGAUGGAAUUCCCGGUGUAGCGGUGAAAUGCGCAGAUAUCGGGAGGAACACCUAUGGCGAAGGCAGCUCGCUGGGACGUUACUGACGCUGAGACGCGAAAGCGUGGGGAGCAAACAGG